Molecule: long non-coding RNA, 1507 nt
Organism: Gadus morhua (Atlantic cod)
Lineage: Eukaryota; Metazoa; Chordata; Actinopteri; Gadiformes; Gadidae
Source: Ensembl
GUUUGAAAACUAAAGAAUCUCUCCUGCAAUGUGUUGGCUUCGUCUAUAUAACUAGACGCAUAAACGAUUUGGCAAUGGGUUCAAACAUCAGUCUUUUUACAACACACACAAAGAAACACCUGCACCAUCACAACAAGGACACAAAAUCCAGCCAGUUCUUAUUUCCAUAAUUAUUUUUAUUGCAUACCCAUCACAUUUGCCAAUGUUGAAUAAAACCCACCUAAGUGCAUCAAUCUCAUGGACCUACUAAGUACAUAGAGGAGUUUCAUGAGAGAGCGCACUGAGCUGAUCUCAUGGUGAAACCAUUAGCCGUGUUCGGUGAUGCACUGCUAAAGAAUUAGACAUGUCAAGGACAUAACCUAAAUGUUUUCUGAUUAGUAAUAGAUGAAUGAAUGAAUACAUACAUUAUAAAAUGUUUUGUAACUUUGAAUGAGACUUGACUUGAUAAUUCUAAACGUUGAAUAAAUAACAAUUACUAUAAUGCUUAGUCGACAGGUUAUUUAGGCUCCAUGCAAACUUUUAUAUAAAUUUAUUUCAUUUGAAAGGUAAUGAAUCAUCUUUUUUUCACCAGAAAUAACUAUGGAACCAUAAGCCGACUAUGUUCCAUUAAAGCCCACCUCAUGUUUUUCAAUAGGAAGUCCAUGUUGUCAGACCAAUUCUCACUGUGAUGAAAUGCCAGGCUGUUCAUUUUAAGACAUUGGUUACAUGGGGUUACAUACAGAUUAUACACUGUCCAAAGUAUUACAUUUUUUUUGGUAUAAUAGAUUAAGCUAAUUUGUUCGCAGUAAGAUAAUUACUACAAAAAGAAGAAAUCACAGCACCAAUCCUAAGAUAGUAGAGGAAUAGGCUUAAUGGUACCUUUACCCUAACAAAAAAAGGUGAUUAGGGAUGAAGCAUGGGUUGGAGGUGAUUGCGGGUGCUUCAGGCUGGAGAGUGAAGCAGGCAGGCUGGAAGUGGAGAUCCACAGAGCACUACAGGCAGAAAGAAACAAGGAUUGAGAAAUACAACUGGUGAAAAAACUACUAUCAGGUGUUAAAUAUAUGAGAGCCAGAUACACAUAUCUACCACUGAAAUUGAAGUAUGAUCCAACAGCUUCAUAACUUACCUGUGUUUACGACCGUAACACUGCUGCUGUUGUUGAUGUCAUUGAUGUCGUGGUCAUACCUAAAAGACGGUUGAUGACCAAUGCAAUCAAGUGACAACUGACAAGUAGCCAUCACUGAGCCGUGCAUGCGGGGACGAAUCGUGGAUCUAUCCCAUUGGCUAGCUAGCCCGAACAGCCAUAUUCCUAUUGGCUGUAAGGGCUGUAAAUGGAAUCAGAUUGAGUCAUUCAGGGUGUGCACUUUGCAGAGAUGCAUUCAGGGAACGGAGUGUACUUCAGGGAAACCGACACGCCCUGUCUUCUAUCAAUUUAAAAGAGGAAUCAAAGGGGUAGACCGGUGUGGUUCACACCGCCGACGACUGUUGGACCAUUUCAUUCAGAGAGCCCACACCAUAAUCUUCUCAG